CCCUUAGAUGUUCUGGGCCGCACGCGCGCUACACUGAGUGGAUCAGCGGGUCAGGUUGCGCGAAAGUGUUUCCUAAUCUUGAAAUCCGCUCGUGAUGGGGAUUGACGGUUGCAAUUUUCCGUCAUGAACGAGGAAUACCUUGUAAGCGCGGGUCAUCAUCCCGCGCUGAAUACGUCCCUGCCCUUUGUACACACCGCCCGUCGCUCCUACCGAUUGAGUGGUCCGGUGAGGCUUUGGGAUCUGAGCAAAAAGAGCGUUUCGCUCGUUUGGCUCGGAAAACUCAGUCGAACCUUAUCAUUUAGAGGAAGGAGAAGUCGUAACA
This 322-nucleotide ribosomal RNA is filed under the name uncultured eukaryote. RNAcentral describes it as "partial 18S ribosomal RNA". It matches the Rfam family "Eukaryotic small subunit ribosomal RNA", at positions 1470 to 1796 of the family's 1831-position model. The record is from RNAcentral.